Molecule: long non-coding RNA, 1153 nt
Organism: Eucalyptus grandis
Lineage: Eukaryota; Viridiplantae; Streptophyta; Magnoliopsida; Myrtales; Myrtaceae
Exons: 3
Source: RefSeq, a predicted model, not a curated record
AAUUAGUGUUCUGUAUUAAGUUUGGUACCUACCUUGACCUUGUAGCCAUAUGAAAGCUCUAAUUCUGAUGAAGAGACAAUUUCUGUCUUGACCAUGUAGCUAUAUGAAAGCACCCUAAUUAUGAUCAAGAGACAAUUUCUAAAUAUUUGUUCCUAUUACUCGUUAUCCUUCUCAUUGAUGCUUACCUUGCAAGGCCAUAUCAUUCACAUUAUCAGCAGUGAAGUGAAAUUGAGAACUUACCGAGAUGCUGGUCACACCUGCAGAUCUUUGUACUGAUGUAGAGGUCUUGGUGUAUCUCCGUCGCCUCCUAGGACCUGAAUUCAUUGUGGGGUUCGCCUAUGGUUUUCCUUCACAGUUGGUUAAGCAUGAUGCAAUCUCAUCUGACUAGGAACAUUGGGAGAAGCAGGUCAUCUUGCAGAUUAUGAAUCUGUUUAUGUGAAGAAGCUGGGAUCUUCUAUUUCCAUUAACCUCAGCUCCAGGUUGUUGUGCUGAUUUCGAAUCUGUCUGGAGCCAGGUCCAUUGAUCUGUGUUCCUUAGCUCCUUUAUUCAUCAUCUCUUCCAAUUUUCUGGCAUUGUUAUUAUAUAUGUAUAUUAUGUGGUGGCAGAGCCACGCUUAAUUGCAAGGAGGUAGUGUCAACGUUAGUGAACUGUCCACAAACUUUCUGCAAAUCCAUGUUGAUAAGAGGGAGUUGGGUCUUUCCGUCUAUAAUCUGGAUAUUAGUGCACUGGUUAUGCAACUAUCGUGCCAACCUCAGAACUGGUGAAAAAUUGCGGUGAGGAAGGCUACUUUCAGCAAUGUGGCGGCCAUUGAAUUUUGCUAGAGUGCAACUAUGGUGGAUAGGUUGGCUACAUAGAAUGCAAUUUUGUCUUGAUUAAAGAACUAUACCUUAUCCCAUCUGGAGUAGAAAACCUGCUGCUCUGCUGAAUGCUUUUGUUUCCUUUUGUCGUAGUUAAGUCAACAGAAACAUCUAGAAGAUAAGAGUUGUCUUCAUUGUGAUGUGGCCAGAGGAGAGCGGGACCAGACCACUUGUUGCUGCUCAAGUAGGGAUGGAUGUAGAGUUGUUGGAAUAUGUGUUGUCAAGGGAGCAAUUGAAACUAGAUGGUUGCCGUACUGUAAUUCUCAAUUCCUAUUGAUAAUCUGCUCCUUUUUAUC